Cornus florida is the source of this 5399-nucleotide RNA transcript. It is a transcript of the gene named protein STICHEL-like 3, with no coding region annotated. NCBI's taxonomy places the organism in Eukaryota, Viridiplantae, Streptophyta, Magnoliopsida, Cornales, Cornaceae. The record is from RefSeq and is a predicted model, not a curated record. The transcript has 7 exons.
UUUGCAAUCUGUCCUGUUUUGAAGCUGUUCGUCAGCAGCAGAAUCUCACUCAUACAGCCCGUAACAGCCUUACUCACCUCUAUCUCUCACCAUCUCACUUUCUCUCUCUACAUCUCCGUCUGCAGGACAUAAUUCUCUCUGUAAAACACUCUCUCUUACACUUUACAACACUUGUUCUCUCAUUUUGCGACUCUCUCUCUCUCUAAAUCGACUGUGUCUAAAAUAUACCCUACUCCUCUAUCUCUCUAUAUAUACACGCACACACAUAUGCACAACUCACUUCACUUUCUCUCUCUACAACUAAAGGCACCGUCUCUUUGUACGUCUGGGGCAUCUUCUAUCGUUUUCGGAGAAAAAGCCCUCGUGAAGUCCAUGUGAAAGUUAACAGAGAUCUGGGAUUUAAUGAGGGUAACGGGUCACUUGCCUCUGUUUCAGGUGAAUCGAGUGUUCUCUAACCUCUUUUUCUUCUUUAUGCUAUCUUUUCCCCUCUUUUGACUCUUACGAUUUCAUGUUCACACUUUAUCUCCACCUUAGAUUUUCUUUGCCAUUUUGUCAUAAACGGUGAUCUUUUAGGUCUACAUAGCAAAAGAGAAACUUUGAUUGGGUCGGUGAUUCAAAAAGAUAGUGUACUUACUCUGCUCUUCUUGUGUUCUGUGAUAUGCGUGUAUGAGUUUUGGUUAUUCUUUAGUUCAUUGAAGCUCAGAUGUUGCUGACGUUGCUGCUUCUGAAGUAGCAUUUGGGUUUGGAGCUUUUUAAAGCUUGAAUUUGUAUGUCAUGCCAUGAGUUUUAUAUGUUGCUGUGUAUCUGCUGGUGGGUCAUUGAUUUUUCUCGAAGGGUUGGUACUUGGGGUGUUUCGGGGAAGUCGCCACUGGACUUGAGAUUAUUGUUGUUGCAUGUCAAUUUUAAUGCUUUGAUUACGGAUUUGUAAUGGGGGAUUUUUGAUAGCUUGGAGUGGGCAUCAAUGUUGGAUUUGGGACUUCAUAAUUUAGAAGAUUUCCAACAGUUACAAAUCCAGAAAAUGCAGCAUAAUAUAUCUUGCCUUGAUGCUCCAAAAUUUCCCCUAUUGGACACAUUUAUGCUCUGAUCAUGACCAGGGCUGUCCGUGACCGGAUACUAAAAGAUGCAAAUGGUAGUAUUAGCGAUCAUCUACGAAACCAUAUCCAUUUGACGAAUUGUAUUCACCUGAAGAACCAUAUGCAUAAACAUAGCCCCAUAUUGGCUGCCGAUAGGUCGCUUGUGAGGGAUCUUGUUGUCCUUCAGAGGUCACGAUCUCUCAGGGAUCCUUCUACAAGUCCGCCAUCAUGGCAUUCUCCUUCAGUUGUUGAUCUACUUUCUAAAUUAGGUGAAAAUGAUGUCACAGUGCCUACUGGAAGAAGGUCUGUGGGCAUUGAACGCCAGAGGAAUGGUAGAAGGUUGUCUGGUAGCUCACCACCCUUAGCUAAUCAACCUAUAACAAAGGUUGCUGCCAGGGAGGUGAUCAGGCAUAAUGAUAGGGUAGCUGCAGUGAGUGAGCAUAGUAGCAAGAGCGGCAUUCAGCAACGCAGAAGAAUUAAGGGAGAAGAAUCGAGUGGAAAGAAUUUGGGGAAUGGCCCUAUGGGUGGCAAUGAUAAGCCUCUACAAGAUGGUAAUGAUUUAGUUGAUGAUAUUGCUUUGGGAAACACUGAACAAAAGGCUAAGAAAACGAAACAAAAGGGGAAGCAUAGAGAAGAUGUUCUCUUGAAGACCCUCUCUGAGCAAUUGAAUGAGGUUCGAACUAAUAGUGAUGAUGUAGCAUCAUCUUACAUCCAUCUUCAUGGAAAACAUACCCAGAAUGAGUUAACCCACGAGGAAGCAGAAGCCAGUAUCCACGGCUACUGCAGUGGACUGAGUAGGAUAAAAAGGCGCAAGUUCCGAGGUGCGAGAAGAACUCGAGCUGCUGUAACUUCCAGACAUUCUUUGGCUCAAAAUGAAAUGUCCGUGGCCUCUAAUUCAUUUGCUCAAGGUUCAGCUCGCCCAAAGUAUCACAUGAAGGAGGAAGAAGAUGAGUAUGCUGAUCAGAACAUCAUGAGAGCUCCCAGAAAUGAGUGCAUUCCUUGGAACUGGUCAAGAAUUCAUCAUAGGGGGAAAACAUUUCUUGACAUGGCUGGAAGGAGUUUUUCUUGUGGUUUGUCCGACUCAAAAUUAAAAAGAGGGGGUCCUCUUCCUCGAGGAAGAGAUAUUUCGGAUAUGUCUAUGAUGUCUGACCAAUCAAGCUCGUCUACUAAAUCUGAUGCAGAAGCACAGCCUCUACUAGUUGAGGCAUCUGGAUCUCAUGGUAGCACUGAAAAUGCUGGUUGGGUGCAUGACUAUUCUGGGGAGUUAGGCAUUUUUGCUGAUAAUCUAUUAAAGCAUGAAAUUGACUCUGAUCUUGCUUCGGAAGCUAGAUCUGGUGAUCGUCCCAAGUUUAGAGGGCGUCGCGAUGGGAGUCACCAGAACCUGACGCAGAAAUACAUGCCAAGAACCUUCAGAGAUCUGGUGGGGCAGAAUUUGGUUACACAGGCUCUUUCGAAUGCUGUUGUGAAAAGGAAGGUUGGGUUACUAUAUGUGUUCUAUGGGCCUCAUGGCACUGGUAAAACCUCUUGUGCUCGUAUAUUUGCUAGAGCUUUAAAUUGCCAGUCUCCGGAUCAUCCUAAACCUUGUGGGUUUUGUAAUUCUUGCGUUGCGCAUGACAUGGGUAAGAGUCGAAAUAUAAGGGAAGUAGGUCCAGUCAGUAAUUUUGACUUUGAAAGCAUUAUGGAUCUGAUUGACAAUAUGAUUGUUAGCCGUUUGCCAUCACAGUACAGAGUGUUUAUUUUCGAUGAUUGUGAUACUCUAUCUCCUGACUGCUGGAGUGCUUUGUCAAAGGUCUUUGAUCGAGCACCCAGGCGUGUGGUAUUUGUCCUUGUCAGUUCAAAUCUUGAUGUUCUACCUCAUGUAAUCAUUUCCAGGUGCCAAAAGUUCUUCUUCCCUAAAUUGAAAGAUGCAGAUAUUAUCUACACUUUGCAGUGGAUCGCGACCAAAGAAGAUCUAGAAAUUGAGAAGGAUGCAUUAAAACUAAUUGCAUCCAGAUCAGAUGGAUCUUUAAGGGAUGCUGAGAUGACUCUUGAACAGUUGAGCUUGCUUGGGCAGAGAAUCUCUGUUCCUCUGGUUCAGGAACUGGUUGGGCUUAUCUCUGACGAGAAGUUGGUGGAUCUACUUGAUUUAGCAUUAUCUGCUGACACAGUUAACACUGUGAAGAAUUUGAGAGAAAUCAUGGAAUCUGGUGUUGAGCCAUUAGCUUUGAUGUCUCAACUUGCUACAGUAAUAACUGAUAUUCUUGCUGGUAGCUAUGAUUUAACAAAAGAAAGGCCUAGAAGGAAGUUCUUUCGACAACAAGGAUUAUCGAAAGAAGAUAUGGAAAAACUGCGUCAAGCUUUGAAAACAUUAUCUGAAGCUGAAAAACAGCUGAGAAUGUCAAAUGACCGAUUAACAUGGCUAACAGCUGCAUUGCUGCAACUUGCUCCUGAUCAGCAGUAUAUGUUGCCCAGUUCCUCUGCAGAUAGUGGUUUUAUUAAUAGUCCCUUGGUGGUCCUAAGUAAUACUGGUGGAAGAGAGAGACCCAGGAAAAGUAAUGUUGAGCGCGCUGCAAUGCCUAAUACUGAUAAAGGAUUGUCAACGGGUCUUAGAAUAGGAAACCUUCAAGCUGGGAGUUCUAGUGAUAUUUAUUGUAGUGGUAAGAUAAAAGUUAGUAGUACAGAUAGAAAAAGAAACACUGGUGUGGGGAUGCUUCCUGAACAGAUAUUCACAGUCUCUUCUGAUAUGAAUAGAGUAAAUGGCAGGUCAUUAUCAGGUAAAGUCCAUCUAGAAAUUGAAGAAAUUUGGUUGGAGGUACUUGGAAAGAUUCAAGUAAAUGGCCUAAAAGAGUUUAUGUACCAAGAAGGAAAGCUAGUCUCAGUCAGUUUCGGUGCAGCUCCAACUGUUCAGUUGAUGUUCAGUUCGCAUCUGACAAAAUCCAAGGCAGAGAAGUUCAGGGCGCAUAUUUUACAAGCAUUUGAGUCUGUUCUUGGGUCCCCUGUAACAAUAGAAAUCAGAUGUGAAUCAAGGAGAGAUGAAAGGGCUGGGAUUAACAUGCCACUCAUCUUACCGACUUCCCAAGAUUGUUCAUCUCAGAUCUACAUAAAGCCAGGGCUGAUGAACACUAAAAGGAUGCCUGAGGCUGGAUAUGAUGAUAUCAGAAAAGGAGUUCCGAAGGAUAGAGAUGGUUUAAAUCAGGUCCAUCUGUUGCAGUCUGACUCCAUUGGAAAGGCAAAGAAUGAAAUAGUUGAAAUUGUAGCUUCUCCCAUAGGACCAAAAGCAAAUGGGCAUGUUGAUAACAAUACACAAUAUGAUAGAAGAGAUCAUGAAAGUGGUUCUGUAGGAGACGCAACAUGCUCACCUAAGAAAUCUGCUUUGGUUUCUCUCCCAGAACGAAGGAAAUUAGGGGACCGUAAUCAGAGUCAGAGCCUAGUGAGAAGCAAGGUGUCCCUUGCACAUGUCAUUCAACAGGCGGAAGGAUGCACACAGCUAAAUGGAUGGUCGAAACGCAAAGCAGUAUCUAUUGCUGAAAAGCUUGAACAAGAGAAUCUGAGACUGGAGCCCAGAUCGAGAAGCCUGCUUUGCUGGAAGGCUUCUAGAGUGACUCGUCGGAAGCUUUCACGUUUGAAAACUAGAACAAGGAAACCACAUACUUUACUGAAAAUCGUCUCCUGUGGAAAGUGUUUCUCCGCCAAGUCUCCAAGGUGAUACAAGAAUACAUAUUGGAUUCCUCAGAGGAGCUUGGCACAGACCUCAUUUGGAUUAAUUAUUUGUAUUUAUUCAUCUUCAUGAUGCUUACAAGAUCUUUUUGUUUUAAGGUCUUUCACCCUUCAAAAUUAUUGCAUCCUUCCAUUACUCGUUGUGGUCGUAGUCUAUGGUGUGUAUCAUGCUUUUCUUUUUUUAGAACAAAGUUACAGAACCGCGACAAGUGCAGAACACCAGUUUGGUUUCUUCAAACUUGCCUGCUGAAAGAGCUACAAUUUCCUCCAGAGAAAGCUCAGAGGCUCUAUUAUGGUGAGUUCAUAAGAAAAGAUUAGUGUGAUAGUCCAAGUUACAUCCUUUAUCAUCGUUGCCACUAUGAUUUAGUCUUUGAAAAAUGAAUCUUGGACAUGUAGAAUGUAUUUAUCCUUUGGUUAUGUUUUUUGGUUGAUUGGUGGACAUGAGAAGUCGUUUUUAUAGUAGUGCUUCUAAAACACGUCGAUUCCAAUGCAUGCAUGAAGAUACGAGUUUUGCUUUCAACAGCAAAAAUAGCAUUUCCAAAAUGUUUACUGAACUAUGGUGGAGAGAGAUGAAUGUUCUUUCCGCGAAAAACAAAUUAUUUUCAUUGAGUCAAGAGUGGUUAUUGUUUA